UCUUCCACUCCAGAAAGUAUGUCCAACAAAAGGUUAACAGGAAAGGAAAUAAAUUCAUAAAGGAAAGCUUCCAGAGCUCUCCAAAGCAUAGCUCUUGAGAUUGGAGUCAAGAAAAACUGAGGGCAUCAGCCUGGGCAGUGAUAAAUGCAUGAGAGACUCAUGGAAGGAAGGAAUAAGCAGGAAGUUUUAAGAAAAAUAAGGGUAUUUUCAUAAGUGAGCACAAUCAAAAUAAACAAAUUAAUUAAUGAGCACAAUCAAAAUCUCCCUCAGAAACAAUGCUAAGUAGAUAAUAGCAAAGGGAAAGGGCACCAUAUGACAAUAGGAUUUAAAAUGAGAAGGUAUCCUAUCUUAAGUAAGGAGCAUGCUGGAGCCAGGUGAAACCAUGUGUGGACAGCAAUUUUGUUAAAUUUGCAAUGUGAGAAUUGAGAAAUCAGCAAGCUACAAAUUAGGACUGGAUCUAUUGUUUUAUUUUAAAAUUUGUUUAGAAUUAACAUUUUUAGACUGUUUAGACUGCAAAGAUUCUUCAAUUUAAUAUUGCAAAUUAACCUGAAAAAUGUGUGCUUUGUUUUGCAAAGCCCAUUGUUAGAUAUUUAUCAAUAUAUUCCUGGGAAGGUUCCCUUUAUUAUCUCAUUCCAGAGGUCUUUAUUGUGUUGGAAGGGUCUCCAGCCUCCCCCUAAUAAAGUGUAAACCCAAGGGUGGAGACUAUCCUGCUUUUGUCUUCCUCUCUCAGGUACUGGAACCAUGCAGGGUACAUAGUAGGUAUUUAAUUAAUACCCUUUCCUUGAUGGGUAUAGUCUAAUCCUCUCAUUUUAUAGGCGAAGAGGCAAAGAAAUUGAUGUGGGGAAAAGGAGAAUUACCUUGUCUAAGAUCACAUAAACAGCAAAGUCCAGAUCCAGAAUUUGAACUGAGGUUAAUUUAUCUGAUUACAUGCAACGCACUGCAGCCCUGUUAAGACACCAGCCGAGUUUCCACUUGGAGGCUGGGAGAAAAGAUUACCAUUAAAACGUGACUUCCAUCCA
Molecule: long non-coding RNA, 1019 nt
Organism: Monodelphis domestica (gray short-tailed opossum)
Lineage: Eukaryota; Metazoa; Chordata; Mammalia; Didelphimorphia; Didelphidae
Source: RefSeq, a predicted model, not a curated record